GAUAAACCCAAGCCAGUUUUAAGUGUUUCUCCACAGCAGUGGUUGACUGAAGGAGAUUCAGUGACUCUGAGGUGUGAAGUUAUAAAUUCAUCUACAGGCUGGACAUUCAGCUGGUUCACUGUACAGAGUCACUCCCCAGAUGGUUACCAGUUGGUGUCAAACAGCAGUGGAGGAUCAAAAGGCAUCUACACAGUGAGUUCAGUGACUGUGAAGCACACAGGAGUUUAUAUGUGCAGAGCAGAGAGAGGAGAUCCAGUCUAUCACACAGAGUACAGUAACACAAAGCCACUGUUUGUCAAUGACCGGAGAUGAUGUGAGAGGCAGACCAUGAGGGAUACAUGUCUCCUCUUGUACGGGCAGAAGUUCUCAUAAUGACCCUGCAGAUGUUCUGACUGACUUUGGAGUGCUUUUUAGGCUGUUUUAUGCCCUCUGUUUAGAGAAGACUUACUGUAAUUCUGUAUGUUCAGUCUGUGUGAUAAGUGAAUAAGUGAAUUAAAAGCUUUUGUUUUAAUGUGACUGAAGUUAAUAAUUUGUUAACAACACCAGCAUAAAUUAUUUGAUUAAUAAUUUAAAUUUUUUUUGUAAAAAAUUCGCAAAUAAUAAAUAUUAAUUGAAGAAACACAUAAUACAUUGAGUAAAUACUUAAAUUUUAAUUGACAGAGUCUUUGCUGUAAGUUUUUAAAGAUUCAACUGAUUAAAACAUUUUAGUUGAAUGAACUAUAAAGCUAGUUGAGCAAGCAUACUUUUUUAUAUUUGUCAAAUUUGGGCCAACAAAAAAACUAUAAUUCAGGUAACACUUUGGAGACAGAAAUUGAGUGAACGUAAAAUUUCUGUUAGUCUGAAGUAGUGGAUUCCUGAUAUCUGGCUCCUUUUCAUUUCUGUAUAUAAUUUUCAAUGAUUUUGAAAUCAGAUACUUAUUAAUAUUUAUUGUCCCAGAAAUUAAAGUGAUUUGAAUAAAUUCUUUACGCUUAUAAAGUAAUGUUAUUUAUAUAAUGUAUA
Non-coding RNA from Paramisgurnus dabryanus, 999 nucleotides. The record is from RefSeq and is a predicted model, not a curated record. NCBI's taxonomy places the organism in Eukaryota, Metazoa, Chordata, Actinopteri, Cypriniformes, Cobitidae.